Molecule: non-coding RNA, 175 nt
Organism: Methyloprofundus sedimenti
Lineage: Bacteria; Pseudomonadati; Pseudomonadota; Gammaproteobacteria; Methylococcales; Methylococcaceae
Source: Rfam
AAUAUCGUGAGGUAUUGGCUGAAGGAAGUACAACGCAAAGUUGCGGGGUGACGAACAGGAACUGGAUAUAAGGUGUGACGUAUUCGAGACCAGUGGGCACGUGACCAUGAAGUCUUCCACUCACGCAAGGGAUACGUUUUAUAAAUCCAGCAUCUACGCAACGAAAGCUCUGUGC